This 73-nucleotide transfer RNA is filed under the name Vibrio phage 2.275.O._10N.286.54.E11. RNAcentral's name for it is "tRNA-Gln". It matches the Rfam family "tRNA". Rfam says of the family: Transfer RNA (tRNA) molecules are approximately 80 nucleotides in length. The record is from RNAcentral. Lineage: Duplodnaviria; Heunggongvirae; Uroviricota; Caudoviricetes.
UGGGGUAUAGCUCAAUUGGUAGAGCACCUGGUUUUGAUCCAGGUUGUUGGAGAUUCGAGUUCUUCUACCCCAG